Molecule: ribosomal RNA, 460 nt
Filed under: uncultured bacterium
Lineage: Bacteria
Description: partial 16S ribosomal RNA
Rfam family: Bacterial small subunit ribosomal RNA
Source: RNAcentral
CCUACGGGAGGCAGCAGUGAGGAAUAUUGGUCAAUGGACGAGAGUCUGAACCAGCCAAGUAGCGUGAAGGAUGACUGCCCUCUGGGUUGUAAACUUCUUUUAUAAAGGAAUAAAACUAGGCACUUGUGCCUUUUUGCAUGUACUUUAUGAAUAAGGAACGGCUAACUACGUGACGGCAGCCGCGGUACUUCGGCGGAUCCGAGCGUUAGCCGGAUUUAGUGGGUUUACUGGGAACGUAGGUGGGUUGUUAAGUCAGUUGUGAAAGUUUGCGGCUCAACAGUAAAAGUGAAAUUGAUACUGGCAGUCUUGAGUACAGUUGAGGUAGGCGGAAUUCGUGGUGUAGAGGUGAAAUGCUUAGAUAUCACGAAGAACCCCGGUUGCGAAGGCAGCUUACUAAACUGUGACUGACAUUGAUGCGCGAAAGUGUGGGUAGCAAACAGGAUUAGAUACCCGAGUAGUC